RNAcentral lists this ribosomal RNA (496 nucleotides) under uncultured bacterium. Its description in RNAcentral is "partial 16S ribosomal RNA". It matches the Rfam family "Bacterial small subunit ribosomal RNA", at positions 28 to 506 of the family's 1533-position model. The record is from RNAcentral.
GAUGAACGCUGGCGGCGUGCCUAAUACAUGCAAGUCGAGCGAACGGACGAGAAGCUUGCUUCUCUGAUGUUAGCGGCGGACGGGUGAGUAACACGUGGAUAACCUACCUAUAAGACUGGGAUAACUUCGGGAAACCGGAGCUAAUACCGGAUAAUAUUUUGAACCGCAUGGUUCAACAGUGAAAGACGGUCUUGCUGUCACUUAUAGAUGGAUCCGCGCUGCAUUAGCUAGUUGGUAAGGUAACGGCUUACCAAGGCAACGAUGCAUAGCCGACCUGAGAGGGGGAUCGGCCACACUGGAACUGAGACACGGUCCGGACUCCUACGGGAGGCAGCAGUAGGGAAUCUUCCGCAAUGGGCGAAAGCCUGACGGAGCAACGCCGCGGGAGUGAUGAAGGUCUUCGGAUCGUAAAACUCUGUUAUUAGGGAAGAACAUAUGUGUAGGUAACUGUGCACAUCUGGACGGUACCUAAUCAGAAAGCCACGGCUAACUACGU